AUUGAUAGUUGAGGUGUGUUU
Molecule: microRNA, 21 nt
Filed under: Solanum tuberosum (potato)
Lineage: Eukaryota; Viridiplantae; Streptophyta; Magnoliopsida; Solanales; Solanaceae
Description: stu-miR8045
Source: miRBase by way of RNAcentral